This 623-nucleotide unclassified non-coding RNA is filed under the name Brenneria goodwinii. RNAcentral describes it as "partial may contain 16S ribosomal RNA, 16S-23S ribosomal RNA intergenic spacer, and 23S ribosomal RNA". The record is from RNAcentral. Lineage: Bacteria; Pseudomonadati; Pseudomonadota; Gammaproteobacteria; Enterobacterales; Pectobacteriaceae.
GGGGGCGAAGGGUGGAUCCCUCCUUACCAAAGCCUGAUGUAGGUAAUGUGCAGUGUCCACAACAGAUUGUCUGAUGAAAAAUAAGGAGAAAGCGCUCAUGAUGAUGUUGUGAGUCGUGGGUUCAUGCUGCUGCCCUGAAAUGGGAGGUGAGGGUUACUCGGAUUUCCUGUCCCCAUAAAAAGUUUCCCCCGCGACACUGCCCUUUCCGGCUCAAACCGGAGGUUCUAAUCACCUUGGACACGCCAUACCUAUACGAAAGAAACUCAUUAUCACCGGUUAUCUUGAAUAUGACUUUUCCGACUCUUGGAUUCUAAAUCAUCUGGAACAUUGCGCCAUUUGCUCAAACAUGAACCGCGGCGUUUAACCGCAUCUCUCCCCGCCAUACUGACAUGCGCUUUGGCUGUCUCAGAGCCACUCAGAUAAUUAUUGCUCGAAAGAGAAUCUGAAAACGUCUGGUAUGGCAAGGUAGCGACCAAAAUAUAUCUCUUCGCAUAACACUAAUAUGUGAUAUGGGUGUCUCAGACUCUCUCAUAUUCUCACCGCGCAAGAUGCUUGAUGACUCCUACACACCGUGAGGUUGUGAGACUAAGCGAACACGGGGACUGCCUGGACACCUUGGCACA